CCCCUUUAAAAAGAUCAAUUUUCAUGCAUAUGUAUUGCAGUAAACAAUAUUGAAUAUCAUGUUAAAGAACAUUCACACUUACAACAUCAGACUCCAUUUGGAAGGUGACAACAAUCUAUCAAAACAUUGACCUGAUAUUGUACAUACCAAAAGCUUGUCUGUGGGAUCCAUAAUUACUUCUCUACACGUACCGUCACAAACUACAAAAGAAAAUAAGCGCAAAUUAUAAGUUCCACUCAGCCAAAGGAUUUAAAGUUUAAUGUAAAAAAUUUUAAUUAAAACACGUAGAAGCAUUAACAUAGAUAAUGCUUCCACCAUGAACUUGUCCAGUCUUCUCAUAAAUAAAUACAUCUCCAAUUUGGUAGUAAGAGCAAUUUUCCCCAGAACAAAUAUGAUCAGCCACCACUACAUCACUUAGGCCUUUGCUGCUUUUGCAAAACAACAUUAGCAAAACAAUCUUAAAAUUAGUGACAAGGGUUUUAUCUUUCACCUGAAAUCAACAUUAUGAGGUGGAAAUUUAUUAGCUUAAAAGUGUUAUAAAUACAUAAACACAAAAGCACACAUAUUAAAUAAUAAUGAAUUAGGAAAGUGAUUUCUGCUUAUAAUUACCAAAGAUGAAGGAAGAUUGUCACGGUGAAGUUCAUCACGAAAUUGAGGCGAAGUUUGUGUAUACAUUUCUUGCAAAAGGAUAAUGUCAAAGAAAUCUACUAACAACAACAUUCAUAUUAUAUUGAAUCCAUAAUCAAUAUCCUCUGGUAUGACUUACGAAUACAUUGAUAAAUCACCUUAGUUAAUGGCAUCAAGAUAUUAAUUAAUGAAACUGUUAAAUAAACCAUUAUGAUUAACUUAACCCAGUUAUAUCAAAUUUAGAGCCAUGAAAUUCACAAGGCUCCCGUAUUUAAAUAUAACAAGAGAUUGUUGUCCUUCAAGAGAUCCAUACAAGUGUCGAUGAGCGAAGUCACCUCGGAAGACGAGAGGCUCUUUUUGGAAGCUUACAGAAGUUGGUGGAGACUCUCCACACCCGACAUCCUCUCCUUCGUGUCCUUAGCACAUGACAGUUCUAGCGUCUCCUCUAUUUCGAUCCGCAACCAAUCAGAUCUGAAGAGCGAGCGAAUGAACGCCAAUGAACACUGAGGAAACUAAUUUUAAUCGGUGAAAAAUGAAAGAAAAUAUAAAAUAAUCGGUCCAAAGGUGAGAACAUGAAAAUAUGAAGAAAUCCUAGCAGUUGAGGGUGAAAGAUGCAAGUGAGAGGCUGAGAGAUAGAGGAAAAUGCUUAAGGCUUGAACUGUGGUUCAAAGAGAUGAUGGACAGACAGCUAGAGCCUACAAAAUAAUGAUGAACGAGAGUAGAAGAAAGGAAGAAUGACUGAAUGGAGAUUAGGGCGAACGAGACUGACGAAGAGAAGAAGGGACAAAUUGGAAGAAAUGAAAUGCUCUCCACUAACUAUGGUGAGAUUUCUGGAUCUAUUAUGAUAUUAUGACUGAUUAU
This 1488-nucleotide long non-coding RNA is filed under the name Vigna radiata. Its description in RNAcentral is "long non-coding RNA (VRAD_LNC011915)". The record is from RNAcentral. Lineage: Eukaryota; Viridiplantae; Streptophyta; Magnoliopsida; Fabales; Fabaceae.